This 496-nucleotide ribosomal RNA is filed under the name uncultured bacterium. RNAcentral describes it as "bacterial SSU rRNA". It matches the Rfam family "Bacterial small subunit ribosomal RNA", at positions 28 to 517 of the family's 1533-position model. The record is from RNAcentral.
GAUGAACGCUAGCUACAGGCUUAACACAUGCAAGUCGAGGGGCAGCGAGAAAGUGCUUGCACUUUUGUCGGCGACCGGCGCACGGGUGAGUAACACGUAUGCAACCUGCCCUUGUCAGGGGGAUAAGCGGGGGAAACCCCGUCUAAUACCGCAUAUAUGAUUUGGAGGCAUCUUUAAAUCAGGAAAGAAUUAUCGGACAAGGAUGGGCAUGCGGGACAUUAGGUAGUUGGGGGUGUAACGGACCACCAAGCCGACGAUGUCUAGGGGUUCUGAGAGGAAGGUCCCCCACACUGGUACUGAGACACGGACCAGACUCCUACGGGAGGCAGCAGUGAGGAAUAUUGGUCAAUGGUCGAGAGACUGAACCAGCCAUGCCGCGUGAAGGUGACGGCCCUAUGGGUCUUAAACUUCUUUUGCAAGGGAGCAAUAAGGUCUACGUGUAGACCGAUGAGAGUACCUUGCGAAUAAGCAUCGGCUAACUCCGUGCCAGCAGCCG